GCCACCACUGAACGGUCGCUAGUCACAACCAGGCGUCUCCAUCAGCGCGCGCGUCACAAGAACGUCACAGCGGUGCAAAGCGGCGGUACACACAUUUUCGGAAGCGUCCAGCGUAUAAUCCGCUUGUGGUUGCUGCUCCUUAUCAACAGAGCUCAUCGUUGGUCAAUUCAACAAAGCGCAUUAAAAUUCAUCGCAUCACUCGUGGUCGGAAAUGUUCAAAUUACGACAAACAAGUUUAAAUUCGCAGACAGUGCUUCCGCGACCGGCCGCUUUUUUAUUCCCGAGAAGAAGAAAAAAAACCAUUUUCAAGGAAAACCCUUAUGUGCCUUGAAUGAAAUGCUUCUCACGUUUUUGCCUUUCUUCCAACCGGACGUACGAAUCAAUCGAACGAGAGCUGUUGGGUAGUAGCAUUCUAUUGACUGGUUGCUUUCGUGAGGGAAAAUUGAUUCGUCCAAAUAAGCUAGCACAUUGGUUGGAAAAUAACAAUGUGUGGGUUUGCUAUUGAAGUUCAACAACGAAUAAACUCCCAAAGAAUGUAGAUUCUGUUUGAGAACGUAUGAA
Anopheles arabiensis is the source of this 561-nucleotide long non-coding RNA. RefSeq lists it as uncharacterized. Lineage: Eukaryota; Metazoa; Arthropoda; Insecta; Diptera; Culicidae. The record is from RefSeq and is a predicted model, not a curated record. The transcript has 2 exons.